This is a microRNA precursor of Pelodiscus sinensis (Chinese soft-shelled turtle), 97 nucleotides long. The record is from Ensembl. NCBI's taxonomy places the organism in Eukaryota, Metazoa, Chordata, Testudines, Trionychidae.
GUCAGGUAUUGUUGCUGCAGCUGGUGUUGUGAAUCAGGCCGACAACAAGCUCAUCCUACUAUCCGGCUAUUUCACUACACCAGGGUUGCAUCAUACC